Molecule: ribosomal RNA, 492 nt
Filed under: uncultured bacterium
Lineage: Bacteria
Description: partial 16S ribosomal RNA
Rfam family: Bacterial small subunit ribosomal RNA
Source: RNAcentral
AGUGAACGCUGGCGGUAGGCCUAACACAUGCAAGUCGAACGGCAGCACAGUAAGAGCUUGCUCUUACGGGUGGCGAGUGGCGGACGGGUGAGGAAUACAUCGGAAUCUACUUUUUCGUGGGGGAUAACGUAGGGAAACUUACGCUAAUACCGCAUACGACCUACGGGUGAAAGCAUGGGAUCUUCGGACCUUGCGCGACUGAAUGAGCCGAUGGCGGAUUAGCUAGUUGGCGGGGUAAAGGCCCACCAAGGCGACGAUCCGUAGCUGGUCUGAGAGGAGGAUCAGCCACACUGGAACUGAGACACGGUCCAGACUCCUACGGGAGGGAGCAGUGGGGAAUAUUGGACAAUGGGCGCAAGCCUGAUCCAGCCAUACCGCGUGUGUGAAGAAGGCCUUCGGGUUGUAAAGACCUUUUGUUGGGAAAGAAAAGCAGCAGGUUAAGACCCCGCUGUUCUGACGGUACCCAAAGAAUAAGCACCGGCUAACUUCGUG